RNAcentral lists this ribosomal RNA (678 nucleotides) under uncultured Lachnospiraceae bacterium. RNAcentral describes it as "bacterial SSU rRNA". It matches the Rfam family "Bacterial small subunit ribosomal RNA", at positions 61 to 752 of the family's 1533-position model. The record is from RNAcentral. Lineage: Bacteria; Bacillati; Bacillota; Clostridia; Lachnospirales; Lachnospiraceae.
GUUAAGCUGAUUUCUUCGGAUUGAUUCUUAACUGACUGAGCGGCGGACGGGUGAGUAACGCGUGGGUGACCUGCCCCAUACCGGGGGAUAACAGCUGGAAACGGCUGCUAAUACCGCAUAAGCGCACAGAGCUGCAUGGCUCGGUGUGAAAAACUCCGGUGGUAUGGGAUGGGCCCGCGUCUGAUUAGGCAGUUGGCGGGGUAACGGCCCACCAAACCGACGAUCAGUAGCCGGCCUGAGAGGGCGACCGGCCACAUUGGGACUGAGACACGGCCCAAACUCCUACGGGAGGCAGCAGUGGGGAAUAUUGCACAAUGGGGGAAACCCUGAUGCAGCGACGCCGCGUGAGCGAAGAAGUAUUUCGGUAUGUAAAGCUCUAUCAGCAGGGAAGAUAAUGACGGUACCUGACUAAGAAGCCCCGGCUAACUACGUGCCAGCAGCCGCGGUAAUACGUAGGGGGCAAGCGUUAUCCGGAUUUACUGGGUGUAAAGGGAGCGUAGACGGCACGGCAAGCCAGAUGUGAAAGCCCGGGGCUCAACCCCGGGACUGCAUUUGGAACUGCUGAGCUAGAGUGUCGGAGAGGCAAGUGGAAUUCCUAGUGUAGCGGUGAAAUGCGUAGAUAUUAGGAGGAACACCAGUGGCGAAGGCGGCUUGCUGGACGAUGACUGACGUUGAGGC